RNAcentral lists this ribosomal RNA (466 nucleotides) under uncultured bacterium. Its description in RNAcentral is "partial 16S ribosomal RNA". It matches the Rfam family "Bacterial small subunit ribosomal RNA", at positions 28 to 507 of the family's 1533-position model. The record is from RNAcentral.
GACGAACGCUGGCGGCGCGCCUAACACAUGCAAGUCGAACGAGCGAGGGAGAGCUUGCUUUCUUGAGCGAGUGGCGAACGGGUGAGUAACGCGUGAGGAACCUUCCUCAAAGAGGGGGACAACAGUUGGAAAAGACUGCUAAUACCGCAUAAGCCCACGGUGCCGCAUGGGACCGAGGGAAAAGGAGCAAUCCGCUUUGAGGUGGCCUCGCGUCCGAUUAGCUGGUUGGUGGGGUAACGGCCCACCAAGGCGACGAACGGUAGCCGGACUGAGAGGUUGAACGGCCACAUUGGGACUGAGACACGGCCCAGACUCCUGCGGGAAGCAGCAGUGGGGAAUAUUGCACAAUGGGGGAAACCCUGAUGCAGCGACGCCGCGUGGAGGAAGAAGGUCUUCGGAUUGUAAACUCCUGUUGUUGGGGAAGAUAAUGACGGUACCCAACAAGGAAGUGACGGCUAACUACGUG